Molecule: ribosomal RNA, 253 nt
Filed under: uncultured bacterium
Lineage: Bacteria
Description: partial 16S ribosomal RNA
Rfam family: Bacterial small subunit ribosomal RNA
Source: RNAcentral
UACGUAGGGUGCAAGCGUUAAUCGGAAUUAUUGGGCGUAAAGCGCUCGCAGGUGGUUCGAUGCGUCGUGCGUGAAAGCCCCCGGCUCAACUGGGGAGUGUCGUGCGAUACGGUCGAACUGGAGGCCAGUAGGGGGAUGCGGAAUUCCGGGUGUAGUGGUGGAAUGCGUAGAUAUCGCUUGGAACGCCGAAGGUGAAAACAGGCUGCUGGGGUUGCGCUGACGCUGAGACACGAAAGCCAGGGGAGCAAACGGG